AUUGAACGCUGGCGGCAUGCCUUACACAUGCAAGUCGAACGGUAACGGGCCUUCGGGUGCCGACGAGUGGCGAACGGGUGAGUAAUACAUCGGAACGUGCCCGAUCGUGGGGGAUAACGAGGCGAAAGCUUUUCUAAUACCGCAUACGAUCUACGGAUGAAAGCAGGGGACCGCAAGGCCUUGCGCGGACGGAGCGGCCGAUGGCAGAUUAGGUAGUUGGUGGGAUAAAAGCUUACCAAGCCGACGAUCUGUAGCUGGUCUGAGAGGAUGAUCAGCCACACGGGGACGGAGACACGGCGCAGACGCCUACGGGAGGCAGCAGUGGGGAAUUUUGGACAAUGGGGGAAAGCCUGAUCCAGCCAUGCCGCGUGGAGGAUGAAGGCCUUCGGGUUGUAAACUGCUUUUGUACGGAACGAAAAGCCUUCUUCUAAUACAGGAGGGUCAUGACGGUACCGUAAAAAUAAGCACCGGCUAACUACGUGCCAGCCGCCGCCGUAA
Molecule: ribosomal RNA, 498 nt
Filed under: uncultured bacterium
Lineage: Bacteria
Description: partial 16S ribosomal RNA
Rfam family: Bacterial small subunit ribosomal RNA
Source: RNAcentral